Molecule: ribosomal RNA, 301 nt
Filed under: uncultured bacterium
Lineage: Bacteria
Description: partial 16S ribosomal RNA
Rfam family: Bacterial small subunit ribosomal RNA
Source: RNAcentral
CAGCAGCCGCGGGAAAACAGAGGGUGCGAGCGUUAAUCGGAUUUACUGGGCGUAAAGCGUGCGUAGGCGGCUUCUUAAGUCGGAUGUGAAAUCCCUGAGCUUAACUUAGGAAUUGCAUUCGAUACUGGGAAGCUAGAGUAUGGGAGAGGAUGGUAGAAUUCCAGGUGUAGCGGUGAAAUGCGUAGAGAUCUGGAGGAAUACCGAUGGCGAAGGCAGCCAUCUGGCCUAAUACUGACGCUGAGGUACGAAAGCAUGGGGAGCAAACAGGAUUAGAUACCCCUGUAGUCCCUGUCUCUUAUAC